RNAcentral lists this ribosomal RNA (437 nucleotides) under uncultured bacterium. RNAcentral's name for it is "bacterial SSU rRNA". It matches the Rfam family "Bacterial small subunit ribosomal RNA", at positions 338 to 792 of the family's 1533-position model. The record is from RNAcentral.
CCUACGGGUGGCAGCAGUGGGGAAUAUUGCACAAUGGGCGAAAGCCUGAUGCAGCGACGCCGCGUGAGUGAAGAAGUAUUUCGGUAUGUAAAGCUCUAUCAGCAGGGAAGAAAAUGACGGUACCUGACUAAGAAGCCCCGGCUAACUACGUGCCAGCAGCCGCGGUAAUACGUAGGGGGCAAGCGUUAUCCGGAUUUACUGGGUGUAAAGGGAGCGUAGACGGUAAAGCAAGUCUGAAGUGAAAGCCCGCGGCUCAACUGCGGGACUGCUUUGGAAACUGUUUAACUGGAGUGUCGGAGAGGUAAGUGGAAUUCCUAGUGUAGCGGUGAAAUGCGUAGAUAUUAGGAGGAACACCAGUGGCGAAGGCGACUUACUGGACGAUAACUGACGUUGAGGCUCGAAAGCGUGGGGAGCAAACAGGAUUAGAUACCCGUGUA